GGAGGAAAAGAAACUAACAAGGAUUCCCCUAGUAACGGCGAGUGAAGAGGGAAGAGCUCAAAUUUGAAAGCUGGUACCUUCGGUAUCCGCGUUGUAACCUCGAGACACGUUUUCCGUGCGGCGCUAUGGACAAGUUCCUUGGAACAGGACAUCGUAGAGGGUGAAAAUCCCGUACUUGCCAUGGAUGUACCGUGCUUUGCGAUACGUGCUCUAAGAGUCGAGUUGUUUGGGAUUGCAGCUCAAAAUGGGUGGUAGACUCCAUCUAAAGCUAAAUAUCGGGGAGAGACCGAUAGCGAACAAGUACCGUGAGGGAAAGAUGAAAAGCACUUUGGAAAGAGAGUUAAAAGUACGUGAAAUUGUCGAAAGGGAAGCGCUUGAAGUCAGCCAUGCCGCUCAGGACUCAGCCUGGCUUUUGCUUGGUGUAUUUCCUGGGUAGCAAGUCAGCAUUGGUUUGGAUCGUCGGAGAAGCAUAGUCGGAAUGUGGCGCCCUCGGGCGUG
This 498-nucleotide ribosomal RNA is filed under the name Malassezia furfur. RNAcentral's name for it is "eukaryotic LSU rRNA". It matches the Rfam family "Eukaryotic large subunit ribosomal RNA", at positions 52 to 553 of the family's 3401-position model. The record is from RNAcentral. Lineage: Eukaryota; Fungi; Basidiomycota; Malasseziomycetes; Malasseziales; Malasseziaceae.